AUACGUAGGGGGCGAGCGUUGUCCGGAAUGAUUGGGCGUAAAGGGCGCGUAGGCGGCGCGGUAAGUCUGGAGUGAAAGUCCUGCUUUCAAGGUGGGAAUUGCUUUGGAUACUGUCGGGCUUGAGUGCAGGAGAGGUAAGUGGAAUUCCCAGUGUAGCGGUGAAAUGCGUAGAGAUUGGGAGGAACACCAGUGGCGAAGGCGACUUACUGGACUGUAACUGACGCUGAGGCGCGAAAGUGUGGGGAGCAAACAGGAUUAGAUACCCUGGUAGUCCACACUGUAAACGAUGAAUGCUAGGUGUAGGGGGUAUCGACCCCUUCUGUGCCGCAGUCAACACAAUAAGCAUUCCGCCUGGGGAGUACGGCCGCAAGGUUGAAACUCAAAGGAAUUGACGGGG
Molecule: ribosomal RNA, 397 nt
Filed under: uncultured bacterium
Lineage: Bacteria
Description: partial 16S ribosomal RNA
Rfam family: Bacterial small subunit ribosomal RNA
Source: RNAcentral